RNAcentral lists this ribosomal RNA (468 nucleotides) under uncultured bacterium. RNAcentral describes it as "partial 16S ribosomal RNA". It matches the Rfam family "Bacterial small subunit ribosomal RNA", at positions 28 to 507 of the family's 1533-position model. The record is from RNAcentral.
GACGAACGCUGGCGGCGUGCUUAACACAUGCAAGUCGAACGGAAAGGCCCUGCUUUUGUGGGGUGCUCGAGUGGCGAACGGGUGAGUAACACGUGAGUAACCUGCCCUUGACUUUGGGAUAACUUCAGGAAACUGGGGCUAAUACCGGAUCGGAGCUCCUGCUGCAUGGUGGGGGUUGGAAAGUUUCGGCGGUUGGGGAUGGACUCGCGGCUUAUCAGCUUGUUGGUGGGGUAGUGGCUUACCAAGGCUUUGACGGGUAGCCGGCCUGAGAGGGUGACCGGCCACAUUGGGACUGAGAUGCGGCCCAGACUCCUACGGGAGGCAGCAGUGGGGAAUAUUGCAGAAUGGGCGGAAGCCUGAUGCAGCAACGCCGCGUGCGGGAUGACGGCCUUCGGGGUGUAAACCGCUUUCGCCUGGGACGAAGCGUGAGUGACGGUAAUGGGUAAAGAAGCACCGGCUAACUACGUG